UAUUUUAGCAUUUUGGUGCAUUUUCUUUAAAAAUUAAAAAUUCUGUCUAAAAACCAAAGUAAUGCGCCACCUUCAGCUGAAAACAUAGAAUUUGAGUCAUUUUGAAUAAAUUUUAGCCAAUGGCUAAAGAGUAAAGUACUACAUAAACCAGUAGAGUACUACGUAGCAGCUCCGUGCCAAAGUUAUAAAAGCAACGAGCGUCUCGGCCACGCCCUGUGGCGAGUGGGAGUUGGAUUUGCAAGUGAGCGUAGGAGGUCAGCGGUAGUUCAGCAUUAGCAUAUAGCAUUAGCAUAUCCUAGUCUUUAGCAUAUCUUUUAGUGUUAUACAUACUUAUUUAGUGUUAGCUUGGCUGUUGGAUAUUGUAGUUUAGUUAGUGUUUGGCUUUUAGUGUAAUUGGGAAAGUAUUUCGGGUUUAGUGUUCAUAUCGUCUUAGUAUUGGUGAGAUGGUGUAGUGUAGUAUGCUUGCGGUGACUCUGUGGGCAUUUUACCCGCGAUUCUGCACGUCUCCGUUUGAAGAGGGAGGCUGCCCACCGUGGCUCUUCCGCGAUUUAGAUGCAGCCCACCGACUCUGCUCCCCCACCACGGCGGGCUCCAGUCUGAGGCUAAAUCUACCCAAGACACUGGCUGUCAGACUGAUUUAGCUGCAAGAAUGCACUUGUCCAGGCAGACGUGAAGCCUUACCCGUAGCAAAGCCAGCCAGAAUGGAGUUCACAGCCGCAGUGUGUCUGGUGACCCACAGGGACCAUGAUGAAAAUUCAUCUUCCAGAAGGUCCCAGAGCAGUGUCCACACCCCCUGAAAAGACCAAGGUGUGAGGUGUCUGCUGUUGAUUCCAGCUUCCACCUCAGUGACAGUGCAAGCUCAGUGAACUGUUCAAGGUAAAAAAAAAUUAAAACAUUUCAGAAUUUUUAAGAUAUUAACAAUUAAAUAAGUAUGUGAUUACAUCAUGACAUCAUGAAGGAGGCUACUGAUUCUGCCCGUGACACUUGGUGGUGACGUGUGAGCUGAUUCACCUGGAAAAUAACUUUUACAUUAAAUAUUUUGUUUUUGCUAUCAAAAGUAAAUUAACUAAUAACCUGCAUUAUUGCAGGACACUCAGCAAAAUAUGGACUCUACAACAUGAGGCAGGCACACGUUAAUAUUCUAUAAGAGCACAUAAGGUGAGCAACACCACAUAUUGUACACUGUCCUGAAUUUGUUUUCUUUCUGCAUCUCAUUAGCCUGGCUGAUCACCUGAUAACUCCUGUCAUCUGGUUAUGACAGCAUGAGGAUGUCCUCACACACCUGUAACCUAUCAGCUCAUCUGGCAGAAUAGAGAGAGAAGAGACAACACCACAUCUCCUGUUCCUGGAAAGCCUUCAGCCAUCCUUCAAUGACUGAGAACCUCCAUCAGCUCUGUCUCCUGUCUGCCUACAAUUAUUAUAAUAAAUAUUGUGUUUGACAAGUUUUUUGUGCUGCCAAAUAUCUCAUUUAGAUUCCAGUUUUUAUAUUUUAAUGGAUAUUUAUAAAUUACAUUGAUUAUCACAUUUUUGUUGCAUGUUUAACUAGCUAUUGUGAUUAAUUAAACUAGCACCUCACUGUUAAAAGCUCGUUUUAAUUUCAAGCAUGUUUAAGUAUUUAUGGACAUGAACAAAAACAGGAAAUAUAUAAAUUGAGAUUUAUUUAAUU
Molecule: non-coding RNA, 1666 nt
Organism: Nothobranchius furzeri (turquoise killifish)
Lineage: Eukaryota; Metazoa; Chordata; Actinopteri; Cyprinodontiformes; Nothobranchiidae
Source: RefSeq, a predicted model, not a curated record